CAGCAGCCGCGGGAAAACAGAGGGUGCGAGCGUUAAUCGGAUUUACUGGGCGUAAAGCGUGCGUAGGCGGCUUUUUAAGUCGGAUGUGAAAUCCCUGAGCUUAACUUAGGAAUUGCAUUCGAUACUGGGAAGCUAGAGUAUGGGAGAGGAUGGUAGAAUUCCAGGUGUAGCGGUGAAAUGCGUAGAGAUCUGGAGGAAUACCGAUGGCGAAGGCAGCCAUCUGGCCUAAUACUGACGCUGAGGUACGAAAGCAUGGGGAGCAAACAGGAUUAGAUACCCCAGUAGUCCCUGUCUCUUAUAC
Molecule: ribosomal RNA, 301 nt
Filed under: uncultured bacterium
Lineage: Bacteria
Description: partial 16S ribosomal RNA
Rfam family: Bacterial small subunit ribosomal RNA
Source: RNAcentral